This 799-nucleotide ribosomal RNA is filed under the name uncultured Ralstonia sp. RNAcentral describes it as "bacterial SSU rRNA". It matches the Rfam family "Bacterial small subunit ribosomal RNA", at positions 8 to 796 of the family's 1533-position model. The record is from RNAcentral. Lineage: Bacteria; Pseudomonadati; Pseudomonadota; Betaproteobacteria; Burkholderiales; Burkholderiaceae.
AGAGUUUGAUCCUGGCUCAGAUUGAACGCUGGCGGCAUGCCUUACACAUGCAAGUCGAACGGCAGCAUGAUCUAGCUUGCUAGAUUGAUGGCGAGUGGCGAACGGGUGAGUAAUACAUCGGAACGUGCCCUGUAGUGGGGGAUAACUAGUCGAAAGAUUAGCUAAUACCGCAUACGACCUGAGGGUGAAAGUGGGGGACCGCAAGGCCUCAUGCUAUAGGAGCGGCCGAUGUCUGAUUAGCUAGUUGGUGAGGUAAAGGCUCACCAAGGCGACGAUCAGUAGCUGGUCUGAGAGGACGAUCAGCCACACUGGGACUGAGACACGGCCCAGACUCCUACGGGAGGCAGCAGUGGGGAAUUUUGGACAAUGGGGGCAACCCUGAUCCAGCAAUGCCGCGUGUGUGAAGAAGGCCUUCGGGUUGUAAAGCACUUUUGUCCGGAAAGAAAUCGCACUUACUAAUAUUAGGUGUGGAUGACGGUACCGGAAGAAUAAGGACCGGCUAACUACGUGCCAGCAGCCGCGGUAAUACGUAGGGUCCAAGCGUUAAUCGGAAUUACUGGGCGUAAAGCGUGCGCAGGCGGUUGUGCAAGACCGAUGUGAAAUCCCCGGGCUUAACCUGGGAAUUGCAUUGGUGACUGCACGGCUAGAGUGUGUCAGAGGGGGGUAGAAUUCCACGUGUAGCAGUGAAAUGCGUAGAGAUGUGGAGGAAUACCGAUGGCGAAGGCAGCCCCCUGGGAUAACACUGACGCUCAUGCACGAAAGCGUGGGGAGCAAACAGGAUUAGAUACCCUCGUAGUCC